GACGUAGGGGGCAAGCGUUGUCCGGAAUCACUGGGCGUAAAGAGCUCGUAGGCGGAAUAUUGCGUCUUGGAGUAAAUCCAUCUGCUCAACGGAUGGUUCAUCUAAGAUACGGGUAUUCUUGAGGACAGGAGAGGGCAGCGGAAUUCCGAGUGUAGCGGUGAAAUGCGUAGAGAUUCGGAGGAACACCAGUGGCGAAGGCGGCUGCCUGGCCUGAUUCUGACGCUGAGGAGCGAAAGCCAGGGGAGCGAACGG
This 252-nucleotide ribosomal RNA is filed under the name uncultured bacterium. RNAcentral describes it as "partial 16S ribosomal RNA". It matches the Rfam family "Bacterial small subunit ribosomal RNA", at positions 524 to 775 of the family's 1533-position model. The record is from RNAcentral.